AUUGAAAUAGUCAAGCUCAGCUUGGUGAUGGGUUUUCGCCCUCGCAAGAGGGUGGGCCUGAAAGAUAGUGGUGGGUGCUGCCUGAAAGCAACGUAUUGACUUCAUAUGAAUCGUUGAGUUGACAGGAGGUGCGCUGACGCCAGACAAACCCAUUCUUUACGUUUGACCUCGGAUCAGGUAGGGAUACCCGCUGAACUUAA
Molecule: unclassified non-coding RNA, 200 nt
Filed under: soil metagenome
Description: partial contains internal transcribed spacer 2 and large subunit ribosomal RNA
Source: RNAcentral